GAUGAACGCUGGCGGCGUGCCUAAUACAUGCAAGUCGAGCGAACAGACGAGGAGCUUGCUCCUCUGACGUUAGCGGCGGACGGGUGAGUAACACGUGGAUAACCUACCUAUAAGACUGGGAUAACUUCGUGAAACCGGAGCUAAUACCGGAUAAUAUAUUGAACCGCAUGGUUCAAUAGUUAAAGACGGUUUUGCUGUCACUUAUAGAUGGAUCCGCGCCGCAUUAGCUAGUUGGUAAGGUAACGGCUUACCAAGGCAACGAUGCGUAGCCGACCUGAGAGGGUGAUCGGCCACACUGGAACUGAGACACGGUCCAGACUCCUACGGGAGGCAGCAGUAGGGAAUCUUCCGCAAUGGGCGAAAGCUUGACGGAGCAACGCCGCGUGAGUGAUGAAGGUCUUCGGAUCGUAAAACUCUGUUAUUAGGGAAGAACAAAUGUGUAAGUAACUAUGCACGUCUUGACGGUACCUAAUCAGAAAGCCACGGCUAACUACGUG
RNAcentral lists this ribosomal RNA (497 nucleotides) under uncultured bacterium. RNAcentral's name for it is "partial 16S ribosomal RNA". It matches the Rfam family "Bacterial small subunit ribosomal RNA", at positions 28 to 507 of the family's 1533-position model. The record is from RNAcentral.